This 373-nucleotide ribosomal RNA is filed under the name uncultured organism. Its description in RNAcentral is "partial 16S ribosomal RNA". It matches the Rfam family "Bacterial small subunit ribosomal RNA", at positions 527 to 896 of the family's 1533-position model. The record is from RNAcentral.
GUAGGUGGCAAGCGUUGUCCGGAAUUAUUGGGCGUAAAGCGCGAGCAGGCGGUCCUUUAAGUCUGAUGUGAAAGCCCACGGCUCAACCGUGGAGGGUCAUUGGAAACUGGGGGACUUGAGUACAGAAGAGGAAAGCGGAAUUCCACGUGUAGCGGUGAAAUGCGUAGAGAUGUGGAGGAACACCAGUGGCGAAGGCGGCUUUCUGGUCUGUAACUGACGCUGAGGCGCGAAAGCGUGGGGAGCAAACAGGGAUUAGAUACCCUGGUAGUCCACGCCGUAAACGAUGAGUGCUAAGUGUUAGGGGGUUUCCGCCCCCUUAGUGCUGCAGCUAACGCAUUAAGCACUCCGCCUGGGGAGUACGGCCGCAAGGCUG